CAGUGGCGGACGGGUGAGUAACGCGUGAGUAACCUGCCUCUAAGAGGGGAAUAACAUUCUGAAAAGAAUGCUAAUACCGCAUAACAUAUAUUUAUCGCAUGGUAGAUAUAUCAAAGAUUUAUCGCUUAGAGAUGGGCUCGCGUCCGAUUAGUUAGUUGGUGAGGUAACGGCUCACUAAGACCGCGAUCGGUAGCCGGACUGAGAGGUUGAACGGCCACAUUGGGACUGAGACACGGCCCAGACUCCUACGGGAGGCAGCAGUGGGGGAUAUUGCGCAAUGGGGGAAACCCUGACGCAGCAACGCCGCGUGAAGGAUGAAGGUCUUCGGAUUGUAAACUUCUUUUAUUAAGGACGAAGAAAGUGACGGUACUUAAUGAAUAAGCUCCGGCUAACUACGUGCCAGCAGCCGCGGUAAUACGUAGGGAGCAAGCGUUGUCCGGAUUUACUGGGUGUAAAGGGUGCGUAGGCGGCUUUGCAAGUCAGAUGUGAAAUCUAUGGGCUCAACCC
RNAcentral lists this ribosomal RNA (507 nucleotides) under uncultured bacterium. Its description in RNAcentral is "bacterial SSU rRNA". It matches the Rfam family "Bacterial small subunit ribosomal RNA", at positions 93 to 615 of the family's 1533-position model. The record is from RNAcentral.